This is a long non-coding RNA of Amphiprion ocellaris (clown anemonefish), 1195 nucleotides long. The record is from Ensembl. NCBI's taxonomy places the organism in Eukaryota, Metazoa, Chordata, Actinopteri, Pomacentridae.
ACGUUAUCAACAAAGCUCGAUGAAGCCAUACUAUCGCAGUGGAACGACCUGCUAUUUGUAGCGACUAUUAAGUGUUUACACUGCUUAAAGUCUUUUUAAGGCAAUAUGCCAGGUCCCCAUUGUUCAGUGCGGGACUGCCACAACGGUACCCGUGGGCUAAAGACAUGGACGGAAGAGUUUUGCCCUAUUCACGAGGGCAAUAAAGGAACCUCGCGCUGUAUAUGUGACCCGCCUUAUUUACUCGUCACAUUUCCUACUGAAAGAAAAGAUCCAGAACGUCGUGCCGAAUGGAUUAAAUUAGUUUCCCAGAGACUAUGGGUUGAGGAGGAAGUGGAAGUUUGUCAGCUUAGACCUGGUGUCAUUCCAUCAGUGUUUAACUUCCCGGCUCAUCUUGGAAGAGUAUGUGCCAGAAAGACCACAAACAAGCAGCCUUGAGAUGUUAGACAGCGUCUCCCUGAGGUCCCUCUCUAUCUCCCCACAUAUCCACCAACCACUGGAACACAUCUCCAAAGUUCUGCUGGGCCAGCUCAGCUUCCCCUCAGAAGAAGUGCCGCCACCUGCCAGAUGAAGGAGCCUUUUGAGAGGCAGCUGGCAUCGUGAUUGGACUGUACUUUGGUCUGUUCCAAUCCAGCUUCAGCUCCAGAGACGGCAGGCGGGACGAGUCAACGGAGGCCGGAUGGACGAAGGCAUGCAGCUGAGUACAAUCCAGAAAACAACAGAGGAGGAGUGCAGGGCCAGAACAACCAGAGUAGCACAUUAUGUCUCUUAGAAAACAUCAUAGUAGAGCCUUUGGGAUGAAAAAACGCCAUCAUAUACAUCGUAUAUUGUACAAAUAAGUCAAAGGAAAGAGACAUCAACUGUAGAAUUGUAGUAAUUGUGGACUGACUGAUUUACUGAUUAUCAGUAUUUUAUUUUUUACCGAUUUACGGUAAUAAAUACAUUUAAAAAUGGUGCUACUUUGGCUCUGAACCUUUAUCUACCUGUGGUCACUCUGUCUUCUGGAGUGAUUUGAUUGGUUAUACGUCACAAAUAAAACUCCUUUAACUUAACAUCUGUAAACAAAACAAAAAUGUAUCAACAAAGUUUUCUGUUAGAGUUUGUGUUCUUCUAAGUUUAACUCCAAGAUUUUAAAUACUUUCAUUUACUGCAAAUGAAUAUCUACUCCAAAUGUCUCACUAAUAAUAAUUAUCAGCCU